This is a non-coding RNA of Danio rerio (zebrafish), 223 nucleotides long. The record is from RefSeq and is a predicted model, not a curated record. NCBI's taxonomy places the organism in Eukaryota, Metazoa, Chordata, Actinopteri, Cypriniformes, Danionidae.
UGCGUGCAGGCAAAUAUCCCGCCCAUGGCGCUCAGUCUGAGGCAGAGAGUACAGAGUGAAGCUCCUACUCCUCCGGUUCAUCUAUAAACACUGGAGUUUUCAUAUCAUGCUCCAGUGAAGAGUUCAUUGAAGGACAGCAAGAACAUGAGUGAUCCAGAACCCUGCAAAAUUAAAAAUGAAGACUCUGAACAACAAAUAGGAUCAAUAAAGCAAUAUCAGCUGG